Long non-coding RNA from Felis catus (domestic cat), 1658 nucleotides. RefSeq lists it as uncharacterized. The record is from RefSeq and is a predicted model, not a curated record. NCBI's taxonomy places the organism in Eukaryota, Metazoa, Chordata, Mammalia, Carnivora, Felidae. The transcript is spliced from 4 exons.
UUGGGAUUCUCUCUUUCCCUCUCUCUCUGGCCCUGCCCUGGGCUCUCUCUCUCUCUCUCUCAAGAUAAAUAAACUUAAAACAUUUUUUUUUAACUCCAAUUUCUGAUGCUCACUCUCCUGCCUGGAUUUUAUUGUUUCAGGCUCUCAUCUGGGAGCUCAGGACUGACCUCUGAGCUCACUUCUUUGAUCUUCUCCCCUGGCUCUGUGAUGUGACUUUGGGCAGGUCUCUUGCCCUUCCUGAGCCAGCAAACGUCUUUAAACCGAAGCUUAUAUGGGAAGCCCAGUAUAUGAGACCGAGAAAAAGUUCACAAGGGACUUUUCUCGGAAAAGGAGGCCUAUGCUGCCACCUGGUGGCAACUGUGAGUGGAGAAAUUGUGACCCAAGGAACUUAAGCAACAUGGUCAAUGUUGACCAAGGUCAAGAGCCAGUGUGAUGCAGACCCAGGUGGGUGUGUGUCUGAAGUCCACGUCUUUUCCUUUCUGCCAACAGAGCAGGAGGACAUCUAAAACGCAUCAACAGGCAAAGGAGAUGAGGAAGCAGUCUCAGAGCCGAGAUACGACAGGCCCCCAGGCAUACGGCAAGAGUAUCAUAGCUGGGCUCCGAAUCCAGGUCUGACUGACUUCAAAAGCUCUGCCCCCUCCGCCCCCUCCCUCCCCCCCUCUUCAGCACAUGUAAUUCAGUAGGCUUAUUUAACAAGUCGGGAAACUGAGGUCCAAGAAGGUGAGUGAGUCCAAGGUCACAUGGUGAGUCCAGGAGGUUGUGUCACUAGAAACCAGAUCUUCUGGGUUUCCCUAUCAGGGAAAUUGAGUUUUUGAUUAGGCAGGAAGGAUUGGGUGUUGGAAAUGGAGAUCUUUCUAGGGCAGCUGCUGCCCGGUGAAUGAUAAAUCUGAAGGCCAGGCUAAGGUCUGGGGCUGUGGGAGCUAUUGAGUUUUUUAGGCAGAGUUAGGAGGGUGUUUCACAUACCAAAGGAGGACUAUGAAAACAGCUCCUUUUCCUUCAACCGGUGGAGGGGGAGAGGUAUGCAGAAACCGACACUUUACAGCCCCAGCAACCUCCAGAGUAGCUGCUGUCUCUUUGCAAGACGAUGGUUCUUUCCCCAGCCUGGUUCCUCCUGCUCUUCCUCCCCAGGCGGCUGGGCCCCCAGAUCUCAGGAGCUGAUGUCUGAUGCUGUGCAGAUUACGUUGUUGGUGGGGGCGGGCUGGGGAGGAUGCCCGUGGUGUGACCACUGAGCCAUCCUGUGCUGAUCCGAUGGCGUCAGCUGCCUAAUGCUGAGGUCUGUAGGACAGGGGACCCUGCAGUGGAAACUCCCCAGAUGAGCUUGGAGACUCUCCACUCACCACCAAUCUCCUGCUUGUUUAUCUGUCUUCUUGGCCUGCCUCCGCCAGGAUCUGAGUGUUUGUUUUAAAGAUUCAGGGUUCAGGAUCCAAGAGAGCCAGGGAUGGAGCAGACAGUUAGGCUUGCAGACGUCAACAUCAAAGAGGCCAGAGCUCCAAGCCCACCUACUAGCCUGUGGCCUUUAGCAGGUCAUUUUUACUGUUUACAAAAAUGGAGAAAACCUGUCUCAUGGAGCUGUUCUGAGUUAUAGAAUCGGUGGUGCACCUGAACCCUCGGCAUAAUGUCUGCCACACAGCAGGUGUUCCUGCGGGGGUUGUAACUCC